GACAUCAAUAUUUCUUCAUGGGUGAGC
Molecule: small RNA, 27 nt
Filed under: Bombyx mori (domestic silkworm)
Lineage: Eukaryota; Metazoa; Arthropoda; Insecta; Lepidoptera; Bombycidae
Description: ovarian small RNA-15385
Source: RNAcentral